This 486-nucleotide long non-coding RNA is filed under the name Mytilus galloprovincialis (Mediterranean mussel). The record is from RNAcentral. Lineage: Eukaryota; Metazoa; Mollusca; Bivalvia; Mytilida; Mytilidae.
UGAGUUAAGCCUUCCAAUUGAUAUUUUAUCGUGUGUUUUUCUAUGUUGUGAUGUUAUACUAUUGUUUCAGAAAAAGGGAAAAGGUUUGGUACCAUUAAAACGUUUAAUCCCGCUGCAAAUGUUUGCACCUGUCCUAAGUCAGGAAUCUGAUGUACAGUAGUUGUCAUUUGUUUAUGUAACUUAUACAUGUUUCUCGUUUUUUUAUAUAGAUUAGACCGUUGGUUUUCCCGUUUGAAUGGUUUUACACGUCUAGUAAUUUUGGAGCCCUUUAUAGCUUGUUGUUCGGUGUGAGCCAAGGCUCCGUGUUGAAGGCCGUACAUUGACCUAUAAUGGUUUACUUUUAUAAAUUGUUAUUUGGAUUGAGAGUUGUCUCAUUGGCACUAAUACCACAUCUUCCUAUAUCUAUCAAAUUAUCAUUUUUUUUACUUUCAUAUUCCUUGCCAGAUGAAAUAAUUUUGCUUUUAAACACAGAGGAUGGUCUUAAAG